AUUGAACGCUGGCGGCAUGCCUUACACAUGCAAGUCGAACGGCAGCAUGAUCUAGCUUGCUAGAUUGAUGGCGAGUGGCGACGGGUGAGUAUACAUCGGAACGUGCCCUGUACGUGGGGGAUAACUAGUCGAAAGAUUAGCUAAUACCGCAUACGACCUGAGGGUGAAAGUGGGGGACCGCAAGGCCUCAUGCUAUAGGAGCGGCCGAUGUCUGAUUAGCUAGUUGGUGGGGUAAAGGCCCACCAAGGCGACGAUCAGUAGCUGGUCUGAGAGGACGAUCAGCCACACUGGGACUGAGACACGGCCCAGACUCCUACGGGAGGCAGCAGUGGGGAAUUUUGGACAAUGGGCGAAAGCCUGAUCCAGCAAUGCCG
This 374-nucleotide ribosomal RNA is filed under the name uncultured Ralstonia sp. RNAcentral's name for it is "bacterial SSU rRNA". It matches the Rfam family "Bacterial small subunit ribosomal RNA", at positions 30 to 399 of the family's 1533-position model. Lineage: Bacteria; Pseudomonadati; Pseudomonadota; Betaproteobacteria; Burkholderiales; Burkholderiaceae. The record is from RNAcentral.